UGGAAGAAACAGUGCAAGAUAACUAUGAGACUCUCAGGAAUGAAACUUUAAUCCAUGAAAUUGCAAUAAUUACAAAGCCAAAGUAACGGAUCCUGGUAGUUUCAAAGUUUGGAAUUGUAAUCAGUGCACAUUAAAGAACUACAACCAGAGUUAAUGACUGCUAAGAAACACGUGCCAGUCUACCAAAAUGGUUAGACGUUUCACAUUUUGUUUACUGUUUCAGUGAUGUGCAUUUUGCAUUCACAGAUACUCACUAGUUAUCUAUGAGUUAGUUUUUUUGUUGGAAUAAAUCAGAAAGAAGUGUUUCCUAAGGAAAUAUAAAAAAACUGUGCAGAUCAUUCUUGAAAUGCACUUAUCAAUACUGAUAAAUUAAGAUUGGAAAUAGUCUUGAAACUUGGCAUGAUUUAAAAUAGAAAAUAUUCACUUCUCAAAUGCACUUUAACAACUAGAGUAAGUAACAUAUCUAGAUUAAUUUAAAACUGAUAUGAAAUAGUUUAGAUAUAUUAUAUUAUUUUUUUUCUUGUAUCAGGUGAUUCUGAUUGAUAUGGGAAGAGUGCAGAACAAGACUAGGUAUCCCUCUGUGUACGACAGAGGUAUCAACAAGGACCAGUUGCAA
This 616-nucleotide long non-coding RNA is filed under the name Phaseolus vulgaris (common bean). Its description in RNAcentral is "long non-coding RNA (PVUL_LNC004794)". The record is from RNAcentral. Lineage: Eukaryota; Viridiplantae; Streptophyta; Magnoliopsida; Fabales; Fabaceae.